GGAAAAGAAACCAACAGGGAUUGCCCCAGUAACGGCGAGUGAAGCGGCAACAGCUCAAAUUUGAAAUCUGGCCCCCAGGGCCCGAGUUGUAAUUUGCAGAGGAUGCUUUUGGCGCGGUGCCUUCCGAGUUCCCUGGAACGGGACGCCAUAGAGGGUGAGAGCCCCGUCUGGUCGGACGCCUAGCCUGUGUAAAGCUCCUUCGACGAGUCGAGUAGUUUGGGAAUGCUGCUCUAAAUGGGAGGUAUAUGUCUUCUAAAGCUAAAUACCGGCCAGAGACCGAUAGCGCACAAGUAGAGUGAUCGAAAGAUGAAAAGCACUUUGAAAAGAGGGUUAAAUAGUACGUGAAAUUGUUGAAAGGGAAGCGCUUGUGACCAGACUUGGGCCCGGUGGAUCAUCCAGCGUUCUCGCUGGUGCACUCCGCCGGGUUCAGGCCAGCAUCAGUUCGCCGCGGGGGAAAAAGGCUUCGGGAACGUGGCUCCUACGGGAGUGUUAUAGCCCGUUGCAUAAUACCCUGGGGCGGACUGAGGUUCGCGCUCCGCAAGGAUGCUGGCGUAAUGGUCAUCAGCGACC
Molecule: ribosomal RNA, 570 nt
Filed under: Purpureocillium lilacinum
Lineage: Eukaryota; Fungi; Ascomycota; Sordariomycetes; Hypocreales; Ophiocordycipitaceae
Description: eukaryotic LSU rRNA
Rfam family: Eukaryotic large subunit ribosomal RNA
Source: RNAcentral